GAUGAACGCUGGCGGCGUGCCUAAUACAUGCAAGUCGAGCGAACGGACGAGAAGCUUGCUUCUCUGAUGUUAGCGGCGGACGGGUGAGUAACACGUGGAUAACCUACCUAUAAGACUGGGAUAACUUCGGGAAACCGUAGCUAAUACCGGAUAAUAUUUUGAGCCGCAUGGUUCAAAAGUGAAAGACGGUCUUGCUGUCACUUAUAGAUGGAUCCGCGCUGCAUUAGCUAGUUGGUAAGGUAACGGCUUACCAAGGCAACGAUGCAUAGCCGACCUGAGAGGGUGAUCGGCCACACUGGAACUGAGACACGGUCCAGACUCCUACGGGAGGCAGCAGUAGGGAAUCUUCCGCAAUGGGCGAAAGCCUGACGGAGCAACGCCGCGUGAGUGAUGAAGGUCUUCGGAUCGUAAAACUCUGUUAUUAGGGAAGAACAUAUGUGUAAGUAACUGUGCACAUCUUGACGGUACCUAAUCAGAAAGCCACGGCUAACUACGUG
This 497-nucleotide ribosomal RNA is filed under the name uncultured bacterium. RNAcentral describes it as "partial 16S ribosomal RNA". It matches the Rfam family "Bacterial small subunit ribosomal RNA", at positions 28 to 507 of the family's 1533-position model. The record is from RNAcentral.